AUUCGAGAGGCUGCAGAGCCGCUUUCGCCUGGCCGCCUUGCCCCAUCGUCGGACUUUGGUCCGAAUCGCAUCGGACGAUCGUCCGACCCGUGAAAGCGAAACGUCUGAACCAACUCGAUUGCAGUUGACGCACUGACCAGACCGUGAACAAAGAUGGCGCAACAGCUGGCGAAAGCGAAUGUUGGGCUUUCCCGGUGGACUGUUGUCGCGUCGGCGGCGAUGCCGACGAUCGGUGAAAGCGUCAAUGCAUUCGCGAGACCGCGAUCAGGCGCAGGCCGGUAAAACUCUUCAGGAGGAGCGUGAUGGUCACGCGUCGAAACUUUCUCGCAGCACUGUGCUGGGUUUCGGUCGGCCUUCCCGUCGCCGUAUCGCCUUACAAAAUCGCGCUGUCGGGCUCAGGCAUCGAACUGGAACCGCAGUCCGCUCUCGCCAAG
Molecule: small RNA, 434 nt
Filed under: Sinorhizobium meliloti 2011
Lineage: Bacteria; Pseudomonadati; Pseudomonadota; Alphaproteobacteria; Hyphomicrobiales; Rhizobiaceae
Description: putative ncRNA
Source: RNAcentral